Myotis brandtii (Brandt's bat) is the source of this 2785-nucleotide long non-coding RNA. RefSeq lists it as uncharacterized. The transcript is spliced from 2 exons. The record is from RefSeq and is a predicted model, not a curated record. NCBI's taxonomy places the organism in Eukaryota, Metazoa, Chordata, Mammalia, Chiroptera, Vespertilionidae.
CAUACGAGAUAAUGCGAUACUUCUCUUUCUCUGACUGGUUCAUUUCACUUAGCAUAAUAAUACUCUCCAGGUCCCUCCAUCCUGAAUGACCCCAUUCUUAACCCCAGGAUUCCAGGAGGGCAGAUAGGCAGGAUGAAAGCAGUCUAGCUAGGCUAGGGGAAGGUGAGGCAGGCUGCACAAACUGCACAGGCCCACUUUGGCCUUGCUCCCACGACCCCCACGGACCUGGGCUGUCUGGCCACGCACAACCACAAGGUGGCGUUGCGGGCCGGGAGCCUCUGGAGGGGCCUCAGAGACGCCUGUGGGGCUUCUGCCCUCCUGGAGGCCAGGGCUGGGGGUACAGGAUAAUGACCCCACAGGAAGGAGGGCCCUGCACCAUGUGGUGGCAUCUGCACCCUCCCACUACAGCUGUCUCAGGGCGGAGAUGACCUGCCUCAGAGCUCCUCUUCUCCUGCAGGAGCCCCACCCCCACCCCUGCCUUCAGCACCCCUUUGUCCCUAUCUCUAAAACCCCUGUGUUCCAUGUCCCUCUCUCAAGUGCUCCUUCCUCAAGCAGGGCUUUGGGAGGGCCCAGACCCAUUGGGUGAAAGUCCCAGAGAUCUUUCCCGGACCCUGCAUUUGAAAUCUCUCUAAUCCAGGGAAUGCAGAAGGGGUGGAGAACCAAUCGGAGGACUCUAAGGGCCGGGGUCUUACUCCCACAACACCCCCUUCUCAUGCCUCAGCCCUUUCAUAUUGACCAUGGUGCCAGCCUUGGGUUCCUGUGUGUGUGUGUGUGGGGGGGGGGGGGGGGGGGGGGUUGAGUGACAAGAUGGGCAAGCUCCCCACCCAUACCUGUGACUUGCAUGUUCUAGGUUCUGAGCAUUGCUCACCUAUAACCCCUCCCAAGUGCCAGCCCCUUCUUUCCAGGCCCACUUGUCCUACUCAGUGUGGAUGAGCCUCCUCCAGGAAGCCUUCCUGACCUGUCCACAGGGCUCACAGUUCCCUGUGCUGUUUAGUUAGAUGUCUUCUGUGUCCUUGUACCCCCUCCCAUCCCAGGGAACCAGAGAAUGUGAGACUCCUUAGGGCAGAGAUGGGGUGACCUGUGGUUGUUGGGGAUGAUGGUGAUGGAUAUUCCUGCAGACCUUGGCCAAUUAGAAGGAAGAAUUUGCUGACAGUAGAGCCACUCAGAUGAGCUGGAAAUGAGCUCCCCUGUCACUGGAAGUGCACAGAGGAGUUAGCACAGCAGUGAAAUGACAGGAAGGAACAAAGUACUGUUGGAGCUCAGAGGAGGGACCUCAGGGAAAACUUCUGAAGGAGGUGAGAUAGGAACUGGGUCUAUUAGCAUGGGGAGGAGUUGAGAGGUAGAGAGGAGGGCCAGGGCAAGGCGUGUGAGUUCAUGGGAGAGGGGAGAUAAGGAAGGUGGGUGCAAGCUGUUGGUGCACCCCCCCUUCCCCCCGAGUAAUCCCCCCAUGUCACCUCUCUCCCCUAUUGGGCUUUUCAGGAAGAACACACUCCCCAGGGCAAAGCUGGUGCUGAUUCAUCCUUGUGGCCCCAGGGCCCAGCCCAGGCAAUAUGAGUGGACACUGGUCAAGUGAUGGAAAGAGGGACUCUUUCUAACGUUUAUUGAACCAAGGACUAGUUAGGUGCCAGGUGGGGCCGGUGGGGGACAGAGCUCUCACUGUCCUGCGGUGUCUUUGUGGGACCAGCCCCCUGUUGCCCACAUGGCCACGGAUGGCUGGCUUCCACCCAACACCUCCUUCCCCAACAUACCCCCAGGACACACUCUUAGGAAAGUGAACAAAUGCAACUCUUUUUCUUUUACAAAUGACACUUUGCAUCCCCUGCCAGCAGGGGUGGGGGUGGGGAACGGGUUAAAGGUGACAGUCCAUAAAAAAGACAACAUCUAUAAAACGAGCCUAAGGAAAGAGCCAGGGCUGGGAGGCUGAGAUGCCACCCUGGUGGGGGAACAUAAUACUGGGUGGGGACUGCCUGCCUCCUUCUGCUGCACUCACAGUAGGGGAGGUGGGCUGUGGGCUCUGGGCCAGUGGGGGCUGAAUCUGGGAGGCCUGUCCUGGCUUGUGGCAGGGGGGUUGGGGGGGACUCCAGGACUGCAUCAACAUCUUGGGGGAGCAUCUAGGAACAGGGCCUGAAGGAUCAAUGGGUACGUUUCCAGUCUUGAUGCUGGGGGACCCCGCCCGAGUGGGAAACUGGCAGGGCUGGGACUGGCAUGCCUGACGCUUCCAGAAGCUCUGAGAGGUGAAGUGACAGCCCGGGCAUCGCAGCUGGUCAGUGGGCCAGAGUCCUACCUCCCCGGGAUGACAGGAAAUGGGUGCCAAUGGUAGGAUGUGGGUCUUGGCAGCAAAGGGGAGCCCAGAAAGGGGAGAGGGAGGCCAUGAUUUAGAGAAGACAGCAAAGUGCAAAGGGGCCUGGCUGGGAGGCAGUCAUGCCUCUGCCGCGGCAGUACCUCAGAUUACCAAUUUUCCUCUCUGGGCCUCAGUUCUCCCAUCUGCCACAGGAGGAGGUGGGCACCCCCCAGUCCUUUCUGUAACUAAAGUUCUACCCAGGGCUCCAGGGGAACAGAAAAGGAUAAAGUGGGCCCCAUGUGCCCGAAGCAAAAGAAACCCAUGCCCCUGAGUGGCUGGACCAUGGGCCCAAGGGGGCACUCAGCCAUGGACCUGACCUCUGACCUUCCUCAUAGUCAGGUUGGCCCAGGCCUGAGGGAAGGCACUUGGGGGUCGAGUGGGGAAGGACAGCAGCGGGCAGCUGUGUAGUUUGGCAUCAAAGACCCCCUGCUUAUGGUGUGGGGG